Molecule: long non-coding RNA, 6251 nt
Organism: Pteropus alecto (black flying fox)
Lineage: Eukaryota; Metazoa; Chordata; Mammalia; Chiroptera; Pteropodidae
Exons: 2
Source: RefSeq, a predicted model, not a curated record
UCCCCGUCGCGCCCUUGACCUGCUCCGCUCUUCUGAGGGCCACACGUGCCCACAGGAAACCAACAUACACGGUACACACGACUCAACCUCGAGCGCCCUCCCGGCCACUGCGGACACACCCAUACGAUGCUCGGCGACCCCUGUGCCCCCCAAGAAGUCCCCCGCUCCUCAGCGCCUCAACCAAAGUCACUCCCUCCUCCCCAUCCCUCCCCACAAAGGCUGUGUUCACACAGAUCCCUCGAGAUGCCGCCUCGUGGACACGGACCUCCCUGUGGUUCUCAUGAAGACUGCGUGGAAGCCUUCAGCACCCCGGGGUGCCUCAGGCCAGGACCCCGCCCCACUCUGGGCACUCUAAUUGCUCUCCUCUAGCCUGCAGGAGUUCCAGGUUGGGGAGUUGGGGAAUCAGGAGUGGCCUCCCCAGGGCAGAGACCAGUAAAGCCUUGCUACGCCCCACCCCCCCAGCUGCCCCACCCCAGGUCUCUGGGAUGGUAAGAGCAGGUGGGUCCCCUAAGCCCGUGUGGCUGGUGAAGAGCAAACUCCGUGAAGGGAGCGCCCGCACACUUCACAGCACUUUCAUUUUCGGUGCUUGCUCUCAGGCUAGUCUCCCUCUGCGGGGUCAGAAUUCUUUCCAUUUCCCAGCUGAGGAAACAGGUUGAAACUGAGGCUCAGAGGGUGAAAUAAGUUGUCCAAUGUCAUACAGUCAACAAAUGGCAAAGCUGGGCCUAACCCAGGCCUCCCAAGCACAUAGCACAAACUCCCGCACCCCCGGCUUCCGGGGUUCCCACAGGGCUCACCCGCUUCUCGUCCCCUCCAUCAGACAGCAAGACAGCAAUGCUGCCCUCAUCCCACCUCGGGCCUCUCCCGAAGCUUUGCCUGUGCUGAGCAAGUCCAGGUGUCAGCGGAGCCCCAGCCCCAUCCAUGUUUUCCCAUAAAUGCUUCCUGUGUGAAUCACUGUGGGCAGAGGAGGGGCUGAUCCUAGAACUUCAGCAUGAGGAGGGUGCUCAGAGGGGCCCCCCCCGCACCCACACUGUAUGGUACAAACUGUGGCCCAGGGACCAAUGAGUCACCUAUCCCAGAGUGCAUGCCCCUUACACUCCACCCUUGGUGGCGGAACCAAGCACCUGCCCCCUGAGAAAGAGGUUCCGCACCAUGGGGUGAGGGUGGGACACAGCUGCCCGCCAGUUAACUCAGUCUGACUCAGUGCGGGGUGGCAUUAUCACGCCCACUCAGAGGCAGGAACCUGCACCACAGCAUGAAGGAGGCAGCGGAUGGGGUCGCCAAGGCCCAGCGGAGGAGCCAAGGACCCAGGAGAGUCCCAGCUAAGGGAUGGUGACGCACCGGCCCCAUGACGGGGUGAGGUGGGACGAGACAAUUCACGCAGUCAUGGGGAGCACGCCGAAGGCUAGUAACUGCUGGCUAUUGUGGUCACACAGCAGACAGAUUGCUGAGUUGGGGCUGCCGACAUCAGGUGAGCCCAUGUCACGCUCGGGGACUCCAGCAUUGACUGGGAUUAAGCGUGAGGAAAACCCAAACUGGGUGGGUUGCCGCAUCCACCCUUCAUGUCCAUAGCAAUUCUACAGCUCCUCCCCAUCAUCCCAGUUUACAGGCGAGCCAGCUGGGGACCUGAAAGGUGAAGUGACAGGUCCAAGGUCACAUGGCCGGGCCAGGAUUCAAACCCAGGCCGACGGGCUUCAGCGUCGGCGCCCGUGACAACCUCCCACACUAAUGAGGACGGUGUGUGUCUGCCAGGGACCCAGCACAGAGCAGGCCCCGAAUAAACAGCGGCUGCCAUUUCUCUUCUUUAAUCAACAUCGUGGACAGAGGCAACACUGGCAGGGAGGUGUAGGGCGGGGAGAGCUAGGCUACCACCACCCAGGUGCCCGUCCCGUCCAGCCCCCCGUUCAGAGAAUGACCCCGCCUGCCCGGUCCAGCACCACACACUGAGCUGGACACAGAGAAACAAUCUGCCUGCUGGGCCGAGUCCUGGGCUGUUCGGACGGCCCCGCAAAAGACGUGUUGAAGUCCUCACCCCCCAGACCUGUGAAUGUGAUCUCAUUCCAACACAGGAUCUUUGCAGAUGUCGUCAAGUUGAGAUGAGACCACACCUAAAUUCAAUGACCGAUGCCUUCACAGGAAAGCCGCAUGGACAUACAGAGAGAGAGGCAUGAAGGGAAGGCCGGCCGUGCUGUGCCGAGAGGGGCAGAGAUGGGGGGGACGCAGCCACAAGCCAAGGAUCGCCAGCAGUCGCCGGAAGCUGGAAGAGACAGGAAGGAUUCCUGGCCCUGCUGACAUCUUGAUUUGAGACUUCCAGCCCCCAGAACCACGAGGAACAAAUUUCUGCUGCGAGCCACCCAGUUCGCAGCCCGAAUCCCCGGGCACGUCAUCCCUCCUCAAACAGGGCCGGCUCUCCCCAGGCUUGGGCUUUGACCCACACGUCCAGAUGGGGCAAGGUCCAGCCUCAGUGGCCUGCAAACUGGACACACCCUCGUUCCCCUGCUCCAGCCUUCUCCAAUAGGAACGCAUGGACCCCGGGAGAUGGGGAGGGAGCAGGCGACUUCUGCUGAAGGCAUGGCAGCCCUGGCCUCUGAGCUGAGCGUGCAGCGCUGCGCCCACAGGGCCCGGGGCUGCAAAUGCAGGUCCUGCCCUGAACAUCGGCAGCAGCCCUGUGAGGCAGGCCCCACGGUCACCCCCACUGCACAGACAUGUAGACUGAGGCCACACGGGGCAGAGCUGGACAGACUCGGCUUGACUUCCAUCCAGCUUUGUAUUCUCCACAAGGCACCUUCUUGGCCAGCAGCCUUUUCUUAGAAGAAUCCUUGGAAGGAAGGACUACUUACUACUCCAGAUAUCAGAACAUACUCGGAUAAGGAAAAGCCCCAGGAGGGGAGCCCGAGGUAACGGGGAGGGCUUGGCGGGGACCCGGGGCCUAAGGAAGUGCUUCUUCACUCACUCACCACCUCACUACUCUCCCGAGUGGCCUGCGAGGCAGGGAUUCCUCAUCCGGCCAGACUCAGAGCCAGCCCGGUAAGGACACGGAGGUAUGACAACUCGGCCAGCUUUGUUGACUUUAUAAAUAUUGCCCCAGUUGCCCAGUGGGGAGGUGAUGUCAGGUCAUUGCUCAUGGUGAAAGGUGCCCACCCAGGGGGGCGUUCCACUCGCCCCCAGCCCCCCCCACCCCACUUCUGCAGAAACGCGCUUUGGAGCCCACGAAGGGAGGGUCUGAAGGAAGGAAAAACUACUGCUGAGGUUCUCUAGACAGGAAGGGGGGCCCCUGUCUGCACGGGGCAUGACGGGACCCCUAGCGAGAACCUAUCCCAGCUGGCCUGGCCCACAUGGCCCCACCAAGGCGGAUGCUGAGGUCCUAGAUCCUCAUGGCACAGGCUGGUGAGGGGCAGGGCGAGUGGAUGCUGGGGUCCCAUUCCAGGUGGGCUGUGGACUGAGUGCCUUCACCUGGAGGAGUCUGGGGCUUCGCCACCCGAAGCCCGGGCUGCUGCUGCUGCUCUGUCGUCCUGUCCUCCCAGCCCAGCGGGGCCAGCAAGCACGCGUCCUACCCCUCCACUGCUGCCCCCUCCCCAGACGGGCCUCCCAGCCUGAGCCCGCAGCAGGCUGGACUGCACCUUGCUGCCAGCAGUCACUCGGCCCCCCGCGUGGGACCCGCACCGCCUGCUCCGAAGCUUCAGGCGAGGCCCCCUCUGCCUGCAGGACGAACUCCCAGCUUGCGAGCCGAGUGUCCAAGACCCUCUGCAGUCUGGGCACAGACUUCCGUUCCUUCCGCUUCUGCUUCGUCUCCCACUCAGCCCCUCCGGGCCCCUUCCUUCCCCUCCCCCACGAGCAGAAGACAAAGCUGCGGCUUGUUCUCUAGACUCGCAGCCUGCUCCCCACUCCGGGCCUCUACCCAGGCUCUGCCCUCCGCCCCAGCCACCUUCCUCCCCUCCCUCCAACCGCAAGAGGCGGGAGGGUCGUGAUCAGGGCCUGGGCCGUGGAGCAGACCGCCAGGGUCGGACUGUGGCUUCCACAGUUCGGAGCUGACCACUUAGGCUGCUGAACUGUUUAACUGUGCCUCAGUUUCCUCAUCUGCAAAAUGAAAAUAUGGAGGAGGAAGAAACUGCCCUCUACCCUCCCGGUUCCUGUCCCUGGUCUAAUCGUCAAAUAGCCAUGAGACAGAGAAGCAAGAGAAAAUAACCCGGGUUCUACUCACACGCGUAUGGGAACCUCGCGUAGAGGAGGGACCCCGCGGGCACCAGAGGUUCAGAGACAGAGAAGGAACACGGCGUAUAAGACGCCUGAGCUGGGGAUGAAGCGAGGCGCCUGGGGGCUUUAGAGGGUCAUCACAGGAGAAAAACACUCAUUCAGUAAUUCGUAGUUUGCCCUGCCAUACAGGUGGGUCAAAAAAAAGGUAACCUCUGAUAAUCUCUUGUUAUGAGCGAGACUUCAAAUUCUUCUAGGUAGGUAGGGGGGAAGGGCACAUCCGAGGCACGUCUUGGGGUGACUCGUUCUGAACCCCCACAGUCAUGACGCUUUCCCGUCUACUGACCCCAAGGCUGUACAUGUGUUCAUGGGUAUGAAAUGCUGAGAAGGGGCCUGGCACGUGCGCGGCCAUUGUCACCAGCUGGCCCCACUCGGCGCCGGGCUUCCCGGGGGUCCCAGGCCCCCAUCCCCGCGCUGCGGUGCUCCCUCCUCUUGACAGCAACUCGGCCGACAAUCCCAGGUCAUCCUCCAUCUGCCUUACGUUAGGAUGUCAGGGCUGGGCCCGCCUCCCCCAUCAGACUGGGUGCUCCCGCCCCAGGGACCGUGACAACGACAAGCAUCUUGACCUAACUCUCUUCGAGCUCCCCGAAGUCCCCUGCUGGAGGAGGCCUGACCUUGGGCUUCCUCCUUCCUCCUCGUAGAAUCCAGAUUGAGCAAGAAUCUUGCUGGAUCAGUCUAGACAAACUCCCCACCCCUGGUCUCCUAUCCCCUGGCCCGCCUACAGCGAGAAUUCUGUAGCAUUGAUCUCGUGAGACUCCCCCAAGCCCGGACGUUUCCUCUUAGUACUUUCCUACCCACGAGCCCUGCUGCCCCUUGGCCGUGACUCCCCAUGGUCCUUGUUGGAGUCGAGUCCAGUCUCCGUCCCGCUCUGAACGACCUCCUUCAUGAUCCAGAAAUACGAGAGGCUCCUUUGGCCACAAGACCCGAUUUCACUUGCGGUGAGGUCAUUUAGAGACUCGGUCCACUCUACUUGGUGUAGAUUGUGCCAGAACUGUCUACCAGCCUGAUUAACCAGAUGUCAGGUAGGUGUGACAGACCGCAUUAUCUUACAAAGAUCCAACAGGAAUUCCCAAGUCACGCCUGGCCUUGAGGGACAGGGAAGGAGGAUCCCGCUGUGACGGGGAGGGGGGAUCCACUCAGAUGGGAAGAGGAGUCACUGAGCUGGCAGGUGGCCGAGCUGGAUUCCCCUGGACUUCCAGAUGGCCUGCAGUUUAGCAGGGGAACUAGAGAUAGGAACGUAGCAGGCUCUGCAGGUGCUGCUGGCCAAGGAGCCGUCAUCCACGGGGAGAGUCAUGAUUAGUUUGCACUGACCACUUAGAGGCGGACGAUUUAGAGAACUGCACGGGGGAAAAGCUCCUUCCGACAUAUUUUCUAGAAACGCCAGGAAGAAACAUUACAAAGAUCUUCCAAAAGCAUAACUGAGCUUGUAAGGAAGUGAGGAAAGUCACCAGGGGCCAGACUUACUAUUAAUAUUAUUACUAAGAUAAUGUUAUCACUAUAGUUAUAACAGAGGUAAUGUUGAUUGUAUGAAGGCCAGUAUAAUGCCUGAAAUGUGCAAUAAUACAGACAGAGUGACAUUCUCAGUGCCUUAAUAUACCAGGCCCUCUGUCCCUUGCAGCUGUGGCUCUGUAAUCUAACUGACAGCAACUUCGCAGGGCGAUCCGAUCACACAUUCCCAACUGGGCAGGUCAUGGGUAGUCUCGGAACGGUUUUCUUUGCCUUAAGCAAGCCCUGUCCAUCGUUUCUGCAUCUAAGUUAACAUACCUUUGAAACGCCUCUUUUCUCGACCCCUAGACGACUCGACCACUCUCAAGAGAGCACACACUCUUCUAAACUAUCCUGGACCUGACUGUGUCCCACCUUCUUGUCAUCUUCCUUGCGUCCCCUCCUUGAUUCCAAAUGUAUCAAAGAAACUGUAAAUCCAUCCCUCUCGGGAGCAUGAGACCUUGCUCCCCAGCACAGUCGUCAGUGUAACUCGAAUAAACUCUUACAAAUGUUCUCGA